This 433-nucleotide ribosomal RNA is filed under the name uncultured bacterium. RNAcentral's name for it is "partial 16S ribosomal RNA". It matches the Rfam family "Bacterial small subunit ribosomal RNA", at positions 29 to 507 of the family's 1533-position model. The record is from RNAcentral.
AACGAACGCUGGCGGCAUGCCUAACACAUGCAAGUCGAACGAGACCUUCGGGUCUAGUGGCGCACGGGUGCGUAACGCGUGGGAACCUGCCCUUAGGUUCGGAAUAACUCCCCGAAAGGGGUGCUAAUACCGGAUAAUGUCUUCGGACCAAAGAUUUAUCGCCUUUGGAUGGGCCCGCGUUGGAUUAGCUUGUUGGUAGGGUAAAAGCCUACCAAGGCGACGAUCCAUAGCUGGUCUGAGAGGAUGAUCAGCCACACUGGGACUGGGACACGGCCCAGACUCCUACGGGAGGCAGCAGUGGGGAAUAUUGGACAAUGGGCGAAGGCCUGAUCCAGCAAUGCCGCGUGAGUGAUGAAGGCCUUAGGGUUGUAAAGCUCUUUUACCCGGGAUGAUAAUGACAGUACCGGGAGAAUAAGCUCCGGCUAACUCCGUG